This 482-nucleotide ribosomal RNA is filed under the name Lachnospiraceae bacterium canine oral taxon 026. Its description in RNAcentral is "bacterial SSU rRNA". It matches the Rfam family "Bacterial small subunit ribosomal RNA", at positions 9 to 493 of the family's 1533-position model. The record is from RNAcentral. Lineage: Bacteria; Bacillati; Bacillota; Clostridia; Lachnospirales; Lachnospiraceae.
GAGUUUGAUCAUGGCUCAGGAUGAACGCUGGCGGCAUGCCUAACACAUGCAAGUUGAACGAGAAGUCUUGGAGGGAGUCUUCGGACGAACGAAGGGAUGGAAAGUAGCGAACGGGUGAGUAACGCGUGGGCAACCAACCUUACACAGGGGGAUAACGCAGAGAAAUUUGCGCUAAUACCGCAUAAGCGCACGAUACCGCAUGGUAUUGUGUGAAAAACUCCGGUGGUGUAAGACGGGCCCGCGUCUGAUUAGCUAGUUGGUGAGGUAAGAGCUCACCAAGGCGACGAUCAGUAGCCGACCUGAGAGGGUGAUCGGCCACAUUGGGACUGAGACACGGCCCAAACUCCUACGGGAGGCAGCAGUGGGGGAUAUUGCACAAUGGAGGGAACUCUGAUGCAGCAAUGCCGCGUGAAGGAAGACGGUUUUCGGAUUGUAAACUUCUAUCAGCAGGGAAGAAAAUGACGUACCUGACUAAGAGCCCC